GUCUACAUUAGAUACCCUGUAGUCCCAGCCGUAAACUAUGCUCGCUAGGUGUCAGGCAUGGCGCGACCGUGUCUGGUGCCGCAGGGAAGCCGUGAAGCGAGCCACCUGGGAAGUACGGCCGCAAGGCUGAAACUUAAAGGAAUUGGCGGGGAGCACCACAACGGGUGGAGCCUGCGGUUUAAUUGGACUCAACGCCGGGAAGCUCACCGGAUAAGACAGCGGAAUGAUUGCCGGGCUGAAGACUCUGCAUGACUAGCUG
Molecule: ribosomal RNA, 259 nt
Filed under: uncultured archaeon
Lineage: Archaea
Description: partial 16S ribosomal RNA
Rfam family: Archaeal small subunit ribosomal RNA
Source: RNAcentral